UACGUAGGGGGCAAGCGUUGUCCGGAUUUAUUGGGCGUAAAGAGCGUGUAGGCGGCCAGACAGGUCUGCUGUGAAAACUCGAGGCUCAACCUCGAGAUGUCGGCGGAAACCUUCUGGCUAGAGUCCGGAAGAGGAGAGUGGAAUUCCUGGUGUAGCGGUGAAAUGCGCAGAUAUCAGGAAGAACACCUAUGGCGAAGGCAGCUCUCUGGGACGGUACUGACGCUGAGACGCAAAGCGUGGGGAGCGAACAGG
Molecule: ribosomal RNA, 252 nt
Filed under: uncultured bacterium
Lineage: Bacteria
Description: partial 16S ribosomal RNA
Rfam family: Bacterial small subunit ribosomal RNA
Source: RNAcentral